RNAcentral lists this ribosomal RNA (253 nucleotides) under uncultured bacterium. RNAcentral's name for it is "partial 16S ribosomal RNA". It matches the Rfam family "Bacterial small subunit ribosomal RNA", at positions 524 to 776 of the family's 1533-position model. The record is from RNAcentral.
UACAGAGGGGGCAAGCGUUGUUCGGAAUUACUGGGCGUAAAGGGCGCGUAGGCGGCCUGCUAAGUCGAACGUGAAAUCCCUGGGCUCAACCCAGGAACUGCGUCCGAUACUGGUUGGCUUGAAUCCGGGAGAGGGAUGUGGAAUUCCAGGUGUAGCGGUGAAAUGCGUAGAGAUGCGGAGGAACACCGAUGGCGAAGGCAGCCCCCUGGGCCGACACUGACGCUCAGGCACGAAAGCGUGGGGAGCAAACAGG